GAUGAACGCUGGCGGCGUGCCUAAUACAUGCAAGUCGAGCGAAGCGGGGACGGGUGAGUAACACGUGGAUAACCUCCUAUAAGACUGGGAUAACUUCGGGAAACCGUAGCUAAACCGGCUACUUAUAGCCUGAUCCGCCCUGUAUUAGCUAGUUGGUAAGGUAACGGCAUACCAAGGCAACGACGCGUAGCCGACCUGAGAGGGGGAUAGGACACACUGGAACGUAGAAACGGUCCAGACUCCUACGGGAGGCAGCAGUAGGGAAUCUUCCGCAAUGGGCGAAAGCCUGACGGAGCAACGCCGCGUGAGUGAUGAAGGUCUUCGGAUCGUAAAACUCUGUUAUUAGGGAAGCGGUACCUAAUCAGAAAGCGAGGGAUAACUACGUGCCAGCAGCCGCGGUAAUAC
RNAcentral lists this ribosomal RNA (405 nucleotides) under uncultured bacterium. RNAcentral describes it as "partial 16S ribosomal RNA". It matches the Rfam family "Bacterial small subunit ribosomal RNA", at positions 28 to 526 of the family's 1533-position model. The record is from RNAcentral.